AGAUCAUCAGGUGGAGGAAAGAAAGGAGGAAAAGAUUGGUGGAGCCGAAUGCAAAAGUCACUCAGAUUAUUACCAGUUGCUUGCAGGUGCUGGUCCAGUAACGGCCCAGUGUGUCAUCACCGCUGAUUAAUACGAAAAGGGGAAGAAAUCGAUGCAGCAUAGUAUUGUGAUAUUUUGUUUGACACUAUUUUAUUGGUACACGGACGCCAAGUAAUGUAUUUUUCUGCAAGUUUUUGAAGCCUCCUGGAACAAUGAAUAAAUUGCUUUUUGGAUACA
Molecule: non-coding RNA, 276 nt
Organism: Plectropomus leopardus (leopard coralgrouper)
Lineage: Eukaryota; Metazoa; Chordata; Actinopteri; Perciformes; Serranidae
Source: RefSeq, a predicted model, not a curated record